AGAUGCUCAAGAGCAGCUGUGCAAUUCAGAUCAUGGAGAAUUUUCUCUUUUCUCCGAAAAGCAUUGUUAGUUGGCUGAGCACCAGCUCUAUUUCUUGAGAGUUUAACAUCAUCUCCAUCAUGCUACUUCCCUUGCUCCAGAGUACUCCAUCCUUAGCACCUCCUAGGAAGGACAGAGACAUCAGGAAGGUAAGAAACUCUUGGGACAAACACAAUAAAAUACAACACAAUAGGAUUCUCUCUUCUCAUUUCCACUUUUCUGGAUCAGUGCAAGAGAUUCUGGGAGGGGAGAGAACAGAUCAUCUUUUCUCAAAAGAAUAGAAUCUCAGACUGCUGGAGACAAGACAGGCCAAACAGUAGUUCCUCUGCUGAGGCUGAGGGGGGAUCGGGUAGUGCAGAGACCCUGGGAGCCUCUCAGCAGGCCUCAGGAAGCAGGUCCUACCUGACCUGAUUGACUUCAGCAGGAGGGCUAAGGAUUUGUGUUUCUUGAAGACCAAGAAAGAGAUCCGUGGUGGGUCUCACACAGAGAUCCUUUCUUGUGAUCUCCAAGGAAAGCGGACAGAAAAUAUUUCGAUCCACUUGAGAAAUGAGUAGAAGGAAAUGAAACCAAAGGCUUCAUUGGCUUAAAGGCAGAAAGUCAUGCGUGAGCACCGAACAUCUGUGGGCUGAUCUAGAGGGAGGACAGGGAGAAAGAAGUGCCAGUUACUUUUUGUAUUUCCUCAUGUCUCAGCCAAAAAUGCAGUGGAAGGUGAGGAAGAGGAGCAGAAAGAAACAUGGAGCUUGGAAAGAUGAGAGGCUGGAGUAGCUUCUAGAGAAUGCCUGACAGAACAAGAGGAAGAUAAAAACCUGGUUUUACUUCUGCAAAGUCCUACAGGCCUCUCUACGCCUACCUGCAACUUAUGCCUCCUGUGUUCUGGAGUCAUCUGGAAAAACACCCCGAAAAGGGUAAAUUUCAUCAAGCCCCCAAAGAAGCACCUGCCAGAGUCCACAGGUCAUGUGUGAAAGAUCCUGCUCCUGGCGUGACCACCAUCAGGUCAGUGAAACCUCAAUAUGGUGAAUGCAAUUCAAAGAGAAUCCCACUGGACACCAUCCCAAAAAGUUCAGCUCCAGGUAACACAGGGAAUGCCUGUGGCAGCAUCUCCAGUGCCAGCCAUGGCAGGGUUGAGCCUCACCAACUAUCCCUUUUGGUUGUCUUCCUGGUAGUGGGAAAAUACAAAGGCUUUUUUCUUUCUGGCCUCCUCGAGGUGCAAGUUCUAGCCACAGCACCUGCCCCAACAAUGAUCAGGGACCUCUUUCAGGGGUGGGGGGCCCACAAACAGGCAGAUAGAAAUUGGUAGUCUCUCAUUUGUCAUCCCUGAUGUUCAGAAGCUGCUGGAGACUUUAAUCAGCAAAAGAGUAGAACUGAACAUUUGGGAAGGAAAAGCAAAGCAUGGAUCAUUUCCAAAACAAACAAGCUCAAUCUACCAUCUGAAUUUUUUGGAGGACAUUACAUUCUCCCCACUAAUCCAGAACAAGGAAGAAAAGUGGAGCAACUGUCCAAUCGUUAGCAGUUCUGUUAUCUCCAGGCCGUGGGGGACUUUUUACACCAGAAAUGCAGUCAGUGUUGCUAGGGACUUUCCUCGCUGCACAGUGAGUCCCUUGUGGCUACUGCUUUAGUCAUGGGCAGCACAUCUCAACCACAGACUUCCUUUGUUUUACUCAUUGGAAACUAAAUGUUUUCCACUUCCCAAUCAGCUCAUCAUGUCUUCAAAUCUUUCCCAGGCCACAUUCAGGCCUCACCCUAGGUCCAGUUACAAUCUUUGGCUGGAGACUUGCUCCAGUCCCAGCCCCCACUAGUGUCUCUGGUUCAGACCCAGGCCCAUCACACUCCUGAUUUCCAAAUCCAACCACCUUUUUCUCCACCAGAGAUUAGGUAUUAUGGGGUGUCUACUCCUACAGACCAGAGCAAGGCACAAGCCUUUGUCUCAAUUAAAAUUCAAUUUCUGGAAUGGUCCAUGUGGCACAGGCCAAGAGAAAGGAUGUCUUUAUCCCCUGUUGUCCAAAACUCUGACCAAGUGGUUAAUCAAGUCCCUGCCAGGCUUUUUCAGGAUAGCUUCACCUUCCAGGCCCACAGUUCAGUGUGUGCCCAUCACAGGGAUCUUGUCAGUGCGAAUCUCCAGGCACCACAUCUCCAGAGGUGGCUGCUUCGAAGUGACCAUCAGAACUGCUUGCCCUGCAGAAUCCAGGCUGUGGAAGCAGUGUAGCUUCGAGGAGAACUCCCAGGUGUGUGUCACGCACUGGGCAGGCCUCAGCCCUCAAUUGUCAUCUGUGUUGUCAUACCAAAAUAGUUGGGAUGCACGGGAGACAAGAUGCGGGUUCCCAGGAGGUCCUACAGGAAGAAUCUACUCACGAUCCUACAAAAAAAGAAUUUAGACAAGGGUCUAGGGCAGUGUCUGAGGAGGAUCCCCAAAGACCAAAGCAAAGGCUUGGUUAUUUUCCCAGUGAGCUCUGAGGAGCUGCAAAGACACCCAGUGAGGCCCGUGAUGAGUGACUCAGGAAGUUGCUUGUCCAGGGGCCCAGAGGGGAAACAAUUAGAAAAAUUCUUAAAAGCCCAUCUGGGCAAGAAGUUAGGGCAGAUCAGCGAGGGUUUGUUCCCUAUCACUGUGCGUAGAUCUUGGCUUGCUGCCAACCUUGCUUCAUCCACACCCAACACUCAGAGGGAACCCAUACAGCUAGCACCCUUGAAGGGUUGGGCAAACUGCGUAAACACCUCUCACAAGCUUCCUUUCCUCAGUCCACGUGCUGGACAGGAGCUGGGAACACAAAUGAUCAGGUUUCGGGUAAGGCAGAACUGGGGCUUUUACUCCCAGGCCUUUGAACCCAUAAAUAUCAAGGACUGCGAGGCUCAACCACUGUCCCUUUCAAGGCAUGUCUCCCCCUGUGGAUCUGGGACCCAGUCAAAAGCCAAUUUUUCAAAGUCCUUGAGGAAACCUCCUCAAUUAAACUAAAAUGUCAGUUUCUACCCCCACCUGGUUAGCCCCUUUUCGACUCCCUCAUAUGUGAGUGAAGAAACCCAGAAGGCCCCAGGAGGGACCCCACCAGUCCAUGUGCAGGGACCUUCAAACAUUCUUCUGACUGGACAGGAGGGCAGUCUCCCCAGGCUCGUGAGGAGACCUCGGCACAGUGAGACUGUGCUGAAGGUUGAGAUGGUCAACCUAGAGCUCACUCCUAGUACAGAAAUGUUCACAAAUAAGCUGAAAUGUUCACAAAUAAGGUGUUGCUCCAAUUGGUGAGUGGAGGAAGACAUAAAGUCCAAAUCACAUCAGACCUGUCCCAGAAGAUAGCAAUAUUGAAGAGGAACUUAAAGACCAAAUAUUUGAGGGUCAAACAAGACUUAAGGCUGAUGGAGAUCAAGGAAGCCCCUGCAUGGAAAGUUAUCUUGGGCUCCAGUGAGCCAGACAGUGCCCCGACUGGUGUUGUGAAUCUGAAGAGCUCACAGUUUUCUGAGUCCAGUGAUGGCUUCAUAACAACUACAGCAUCUGCUGCCCCAAAUCCAAAAAAGCCAGACCUUAAAACAAGGGUUGUCAGUCAGUGUGAGCUCCAAGGGAAAGUGGAUGUAGAGAAACAACCUCAAGGCCAAGCACCAAAGUGCUCCCUAAAGGCUCCUACAUUGAGGGGCUCUUAUUAGAUUACGGCACAGGUGUGCUCCUCCAAGAUUGUACCACCACCGUGCUCCUCCCAGACUCUCACACAAAUGUGCUUCUUGCUGCAAAUACCUUGGCCUCUGACAGAUCACUGUGUGAUAUCCAGAAAGAAAAUCUUAGUGGGGACACAUAAGCUCCCCAGGAGACAUUAGACAUCAUACAUUGGACAAGGCUGUCAGGGGCAGCAGGAACCAAGGAUACCAAAAGUUAAGGUCCAAGAUCAAAGUCAAAACAAGAUAUUGACCUCAGUUGGUGAGAGAGUGGAUGAUCUCAUCACACUAAUUGAUGAGAAAGAAGAGAAUGGUUUUUCAACUGACAAGGGGGAGGAUAUCUCCCCAACUGGUGAAAGGGAGGAUGAUGUUACCCCAAUUGAUGAGGGGGAAGAUGAUGUUGCUCCAAUUGGUGAGUGGGAGGAAGACAUAAAGUCCAAAUCAAGAAAGCAGGAAAAACUUUUCUAGAACAGAGAACUUCCCAGACAAAUAAGAUCAGCCACCCUGCUCAGGUCAGGGAAACAGAAAAAUUACUGAGGAACAAGACCCUCUGGCAAGAAAAGAAACUAGUUUCUCCAGAAAGCCGCAUCAGAAAAAGAAUGUGGCACUUUCUGGAGUGCCUGAAAAGCAAUAAAAAAGACAAAGGGCAGGAAGAGCACCUUAAAAAAGCCAAGCCUGCACCAGCCACUGGCCAGAGCCAGGAGGGAAUCAAAAGCAGGUUGACAACACACAGAGCUAUGGAAGUGCAAAUGAUCACAGCAGCCUUAGGACACAUUCUGGUGGAGACAUUGGGACUAUCCCAAGGAAUUCGAGCUUCAGAAGUAAAGCAACACAAAAACAAUGUCAGGUCACAGUAGGUCGGCAUUCCUGCCGCCACAGCACUCUCACCCUCCCAGCGCAACAAAGAGUGAUGAAAGGCACAACCUAUAGCCACCAAGCAAUGUCCCUGGGACACUGAAGUUCUAUCGGAAAAGGGGCGGUGAUAGACAGGGUCUUGUCACCCAGAGAGCCAGAGUCCCCAGCCAGACCAGGCCCGCACAGGCUGAGGGAGGCAGGGGCCUCUGGCCACAUUCACCAUUCUCCAACAAGCUGUCUUCAAAACUGUCUUGUCUGGACCACCAGAUUUUUCUCCUGCUUUCACCAGUAGGAAAUCCAUUCUCCAAGAAGAUACACAGUACAUGCAGCAGAAAUCUGACUUUCCUCCUAAUAGCACAUCCUCUGUGUGCUAGGGACCUCACUUAUUGUGACAUUUAUUUCAAAAAAAUAUAUGUAUGUUCUCAUAUCAAGUGGUCUGUACCUUUUUAUGGGGAAGGGCAGGGGUAAUGGUCUCUC
Molecule: long non-coding RNA, 5004 nt
Organism: Talpa occidentalis (Iberian mole)
Lineage: Eukaryota; Metazoa; Chordata; Mammalia; Eulipotyphla; Talpidae
Exons: 3
Source: RefSeq, a predicted model, not a curated record